RNAcentral lists this ribosomal RNA (493 nucleotides) under uncultured bacterium. RNAcentral describes it as "partial 16S ribosomal RNA". It matches the Rfam family "Bacterial small subunit ribosomal RNA", at positions 28 to 507 of the family's 1533-position model. The record is from RNAcentral.
GACGAACGCUGGCGGCGUGCUUAACACAUGCAAGUCGAACGGAAAGGCCUGCUUUCCCUUGUGGAUUGCGGGUACUCGAGUGGCGAACGGGUGAGUAACACGUGAGUGAUCUGCCCCCAACUUGGGUAUAAGCCUGGGAAACUGGGUCUAAUUCCCGAUAGGACUGCAGGGUGGUGCCUGUGGUGGAAAACGAUUUUCUAGUGGUUGGGGAUGAGCUCGCGGCCUAUCAGCUUGUUGGUGGGGAAUGGCCUACCAAGGGGGGGAAGGGUAGCCGGCCUGAGAGGGUGGACGGCGACAUUGGGACUGAGAGACGGCCCAGACUCCGACGGGAGGCAGCAGUGGGGAAUAGUGGACGAUGGGCGGAAGCCUGGUGCAGCGACGCCGCGUGGGGGAUGACGGCCUUCGGGUGGUAAACUCCUCUCGACCGCGAGGAAGCCACCUGGUUGGAAGGGUGGUGACGGUAGUGGUAGAAGAAGCACCGGCUAACUACGUG